This 71-nucleotide transfer RNA is filed under the name Ictidomys tridecemlineatus (thirteen-lined ground squirrel). RNAcentral describes it as "Spermophilus tridecemlineatus (thirteen-lined ground squirrel) tRNA". It matches the Rfam family "tRNA". Rfam says of the family: Transfer RNA (tRNA) molecules are approximately 80 nucleotides in length. Their secondary structure includes four short double-helical elements and three loops (D, anti-codon, and T loops). Lineage: Eukaryota; Metazoa; Chordata; Mammalia; Rodentia; Sciuridae. The record is from Rfam by way of RNAcentral.
GGGGUUGUGGCUUAGUGGUAGAGCACUCACCUGGCAUGUGUGAGGCACUGGGUUCAAUCCCCAGCACCUCA